Molecule: long non-coding RNA, 1356 nt
Organism: Paramisgurnus dabryanus
Lineage: Eukaryota; Metazoa; Chordata; Actinopteri; Cypriniformes; Cobitidae
Source: RefSeq, a predicted model, not a curated record
AAGGUACAUAGCACAUUAAAUCCAAAAGAUGGAUUACAUUGUUCAUGAAUACCAUUUUUCCUAAAUAAUACAACCAUUUCUAUGUUUAUGGCAUAUAUGAGACAUUCAUCCAUGACAUGGACAAAAUACUGCUCUGUAAUGUAUUUUUAUUGUUACUGAAAUUCAGAAUUUUAAUGGACAUGCAGAUAUGGGAGCAGAUAAGGAGAGCUGAGGUGAAAGUUGCCGUAGCAAUGGUUCAACACAAUGUUUCAUUUGCUGUGGCAGACCAUUUCAGCCCCUUGUACAGGGAAUGCUUCAAAGACUCUCCCACAGCUCAAAAUUUCAAGAGUGCCAGAACAAAAACUAUGUGCAUCAUUAAUCAAGCAGUUGCACCACAUUAUAGAAAUGAGCUGGUGUUGAAGAUGAGGGAAAAUCCCUUUACACUGGUCACGGAUGGCUCAAAUGACACAGGACUAGAGAAAAUGAACCCCCUAACUGUAAGGCUAUUUGAUACCACCAAAGUUGUGCACAGAUUCCUUGCCUUGGAUACUGGUUUAAGGGCAGCACAAACCGUAAAGGUUACUUGAAAGAAUUUUGUGAACUCCAUGGCAGUGAUUAUAUGGAAAUGCUGCUGUACAUUUCUGUGAGGUGGCUGAGUUUGGAGAUGUGCAUCACUCGCAUUCUCUGCAGCGGUAUGGCCCACUCACCAGCUACUUCAAAUCUUUAAAUGAGAAACAACCAAGGUUCAGGAGGCUGGUGGAGGAGUUUUCCAAUCCCCUGACGGAAGUCUACCUCCUGUUCCUUCAGGCCACAUUCCCAGUGUUCUCUACACUGAACCUCCUUCUCCAAAGAGAAAAGGCAUCCAUAUUCCAGCUGUAUGAAGAGGAAAAUGGGAGGGUUGGGCUAUUUUAUGCUAUUUUGAUGUCUCCUUUCUUAAGUGCAACACCCCUGUGAAAUAUAGGUUGGUAAGAUAAGAUAGCCCCAGGAGCCAACAGUCUUUAUGUUGAGGAGUUUUGGGGAAGAAUGUCCACAACAAAGAACAAGGUGACUGGCUUGAACCAAUUUGGGAGGCUAUCAAAGAUCGCAGCCUUAGUGCUUCCACAUUCUAAUGCUGAUGCUGAGAGGGUAUUUUCGAUGGUUGGUUUGAACAAAACCUCAACACGAAACAGUUUGUCUCUGGACGGGACAUUGUCCACAAUCAUGACGCUGAAAAUGGCUGGGCUUGAGCCGAACUGUUUCAAGUGGGAGCCAACACCACAAAUGAUAAAGGAGUCCAAAAAGGCAACAAACACUUACAACAAACAACAACACCACUCAUAAUCCCUCUCUCUCUCUCUCUCUCCCUCUCUCUCUCUCUCACAAACACUCACACUCAAA